UACGUAGGGGGCAAGCGUUAUCCGGAUUUACUGGGUGUAAAGGGAGCAGUAGAGUCUGAUGUGAAAGGCGGGGGCUCAACCCCCGGACUGCAUUGGAAACUGUUGAUCUUGAGUACCGGAGAGGUAAGCGGAAUUCCUAGUGUAGCGGUGAAAUGCGUAGAUAUUAGGAGGAACACCAGUGGCGAAGGCGGCUUACUGGACGGUAACUGACGUUGAGGCUCGAAAGCGUGGGGAGCAAACAGG
RNAcentral lists this ribosomal RNA (243 nucleotides) under uncultured Blautia sp. RNAcentral's name for it is "partial 16S ribosomal RNA". It matches the Rfam family "Bacterial small subunit ribosomal RNA", at positions 524 to 776 of the family's 1533-position model. The record is from RNAcentral. Lineage: Bacteria; Bacillati; Bacillota; Clostridia; Lachnospirales; Lachnospiraceae.